GUUCAUUCCAUAUAUACAGAACAACCCGCUCCUUUCAUUCACAUACUAGGGUUUCCAAGAUUCAGCGUCUUCUCCAAGCUUCCUCUCUCAAUCUCAAACGUCUGAUAAGCUCCGACUCAAAUGGCUUUUUGAAGGAAUUUGUAAAAGCCUCUUCAAGUUUCGUCACGAACUCGAUCCUUCACUCGCGAUCUAGGGUUUUGCUCCAAAAACCCCUUUCUCUCAUCCAAUCCAUCUACUUAUUCUUCUUCAAUCAACAGGGUUUCGAUUCGUUAUUUUGAUUCCCUCAUCAAUCACUCGCUCUCUGCCUCUCAUUCGCACCUAUGUGAAUCUGAUUCUAAUCUGUGUCUUCAUCAUAAAUGUUAGAUUUUGUCGAUGAUACAACCAAGGGAACGGCAGUUGCGAUUAAACGCAUUAAGAAAAGAUGCUUUGUAGGGCAGCCAUCUGAACAAGAAAGAUUAACAGUAGAGUUCUCGCGAGAAGCUGUAAUUUUGUCAAAGCUUCAUCAUCCAAACGUAAUGAGAAGGGGAACGGAAGCUUUAUUAAACACUUCUAGAAAACUUUGUUGGAAUGAAAAAGUUUUUAUAUAUGAUUGAUCCUAGAGUAGAGGUGGGUUCAAGUUUGACUUUUGAAGACAAAGUUGUGUGUUCAAGAAGAGGCAGAGGAUAUGCCAAUAAUGGAGGAAGUUGUUCCUAUACAAGGUUUCUACAACAUCUGAUGUCAGCACUAAUGAUGUAGUUUAUUCAAGGUUUCCUACACAUCAACCAGCUUAGAAGUGAAAUCAUAACUCGUGUUCUAAGUUUCUAUUAAAUACUACGGCUCGGAUUCUUGGUUAGCUUGCAACUGACAUUUCAUGGAUCAGAUCAUCAAGAGUUUUGGUCAGCUGUAUCGGGUCAGGUUACAUAUUAGUUGCAACUAUCAUCCUAAUACAUAUUCAGCAAGUACAUUGAAAUUAAGCAUUUGAUUCACAAGCCAAUUUUAAUUUUUAUUUUAUUUUUUACUUUAUUUUGGCCAGCAAUUCGUCAGCUAAUUAGUUUAAUUUUUAUUCGUAUGAAUAUAUAGAAAGGUACUUUUUAGAUUAUAUUGAAAUAUGGAUACGUGGGAAGAAGCAACAAGACUAGAAAUACCGGUACCCAAUUUUGACAAAUUUUGAUACCAGUAUUUUCAGUAGCGGACCACCGGUUCGGUACGGUACCAGUACCAUGCUCAUCCCUAGAUUGAAAUGGGUCAGCACGAAAGCUUUUUGUCCUGCCUUUAAAGAAAGUUAUAAAUCUAUAGUGUGCUACUCAGUUUCUUUGAUGCUAAAUAAUAGAAAAAUAUAGCAGGUGGUCGAUAGGAUAUGUUCUGCAGGUUGGUGUAAUAACUUUUUAUCGAAAAAAUGCCAACCUUUACUCUUAAAUGGGACAAAUACGCUUAAAAUAAAUAUGAUUAAUCGCCUUUCGGACUCUCAUUGUUUAGCUAUAUGGUUGGUACUUCAUCAUCCUACAAAUAUAUAUAAAGAAAUAUCUUAAGCGGAUGUAAAUACUAAAGCUUGGGACCUUGGGCAUAUUAUAAAGUCCCUUUAAACUCUUUGACCCGUCUGUUUUUAACCUAGCUUUUUAGUAUUUUCUUCUGACCCAUUAUCAAUAUAAAUCUAUUCUCUGUUUUUCGGCAUCCACUCUUCCAUUUUGCAGUUCGGGUGGCCGCAGGCAGUCAAUUUUAAUCAUCUGCGCUAUUACUAUGCAACUAUUUUUGCUUCAAGGAUUAAGGCUCUUGAUGUUUGAUUUUGGAUUUAUACGUGCAAUUUUUGCUUGCAAUUUACUUGAAGAAACCUUUAAAAACUGAAGGCUGGCUUGGUUUACGGGCUGAUAUCGACCAUUGUUCUAAGUUUCUGUUAAAUAGUCUAGAAAGGUCCCUCUUGCGGGUUAGACUACGGCUUGGAUUCUUGGUUAGCUUGCAGUUGACAUAUCAUGGAUCAGAUCGCCACAUAGAGUUCUGGUCAACUGUAAGGAUUCAGGAGUUUUGGUCAGAUGUAUCGGGUCAGAUUACAUAUUAGUUGUAACUAUCAUCCUAAUACAUAUUCAGCAAGUACAUUGAAAGUAAGCAUUUGAUUCACAAGCCAAUUUUUAUUUUUAUUUAUUUUUUUCUUUA
Molecule: long non-coding RNA, 2127 nt
Organism: Helianthus annuus (common sunflower)
Lineage: Eukaryota; Viridiplantae; Streptophyta; Magnoliopsida; Asterales; Asteraceae
Exons: 11
Source: RefSeq, a predicted model, not a curated record